RNAcentral lists this microRNA precursor (149 nucleotides) under Pelobates cultripes (western spadefoot toad). The record is from RNAcentral. Lineage: Eukaryota; Metazoa; Chordata; Amphibia; Anura; Pelobatidae.
UUCCAGCCAAUAAGCAGCAGACCCUCCCUCCCAGACCCUCCCACCUCCUGGACAGCAUCCAUUUUACAUUCAUUGUGAAGCUGCAUUCUUAGUGAGCUGUCCAGGAGGUGGGAGGGUCUGGGAGGGAGGGUCUGCUGCUGAUUGGUUGG